UGGGGAAUAUUGCGCAAUGGGCGCAAGCCUGAUGCAGCGACGCCGCGUGAGGGAUGAAGGCCUUCGGGUUGUAAACCUUUUUCGCUCAUGGUCAAGCCGCAGCUUUGGGUUGUGGUGAGGGUAGUGGGUAAAGAAGCGCCGGCUAACUACGUGCCAGCAGCCGCGGUAAUACGUAGGGCGCGAGCGUUGUCCGGAAUUAUUGGGCGUAAAGGGCUUGUAGGCGGUUGGCCGCGUCUGCCGUGAAAUCCUCUGGCUUAACUGGGGGCGUGCGGUGGGUACGGGUUGACUUGAGUGCAGAAGAGGAAAGUGGAAUUCCAUGUGUAGCGGUGAAAUGCGCAGAGAUAUGGAGGAACACCAGUGGCGAAGGCGACUUUCUGGUCUGUAACUGACGCUGAUGUGCGAAAGCGUGGGGAUCAAACAGG
RNAcentral lists this ribosomal RNA (422 nucleotides) under Bacteroidota bacterium. RNAcentral's name for it is "Bacteroidetes bacterium partial 16S ribosomal RNA". It matches the Rfam family "Bacterial small subunit ribosomal RNA", at positions 355 to 776 of the family's 1533-position model. Lineage: Bacteria; Pseudomonadati; Bacteroidota. The record is from RNAcentral.